RNAcentral lists this ribosomal RNA (518 nucleotides) under uncultured bacterium. RNAcentral's name for it is "bacterial SSU rRNA". It matches the Rfam family "Bacterial small subunit ribosomal RNA", at positions 993 to 1509 of the family's 1533-position model. The record is from RNAcentral.
GAAUUUAGCAGAGAUGCUUUAGUGCCUUCGGGAACUCUGAGACAGGUGCUGCAUGGCUGUCGUCAGCUCGUGUUGUGAAAUGUUGGGUUAAGUCCCGNAACGAGCGCAACCCUUUAUCCUUUGUUGCCAGCACGUAAUGGUGGGAACUCAAAGGAGACUGCCGGUGAUAAACCGGAGGAAGGUGGGGAUGACGUCAAGUCAUCAUGGCCCUUACGAGUAGGGCUACACACGUGCUACAAUGGCGCAUACAAAGAGAAGCGACCUCGCGAGAGCAAGCGGACCUCAUAAAGUGCGUCGUAGUCCGGAUUGGAGUCUGCAACUCGACUCCAUGAAGUCGGAAUCGCUAGUAAUCGUAAAUCAGAAUGUUACGGUGAAUACGUUCCCGGGCCUUGUACACACCGCCCGUCACACCAUGGGAGUGGGUUGCAAAAGAAGUAGAUAGCUUAACCUUCGGGAGGGCGUUUACCACUUUGUGAUUCAUGACUGGGGUGAAGUCGUAACAAGGUAAGCGUAGUGCU